RNAcentral lists this ribosomal RNA (400 nucleotides) under uncultured Tintinnidium. RNAcentral's name for it is "partial small subunit ribosomal RNA". It matches the Rfam family "Eukaryotic small subunit ribosomal RNA", at positions 30 to 432 of the family's 1831-position model. Lineage: Eukaryota; Ciliophora; Spirotrichea; Tintinnida; Tintinnidae. The record is from RNAcentral.
GCUUGUCUCAAAGAUUAAGCCAUGCAUGUCUAAGUAUAAACAACUUUGUACUGUGAAACUGCGAAUGGCUCAUUAUAUCAGUUAUAGUUUAUUUGAUGGUUCUUACUACAUGGAUAACCGUAGUAAUUCUAGAGCUAAUACAUGCAUCAAAGCCUGACUUCUGGAAGGGUUGUAUUUAUUAGAUAACAGACCAAUAUUCCCUCGUGUCUAUUGUGGUGAAUCAUAGUAACUGAUCGGAUCGCAUGGGCGUGCCCGCGACAAACCAUUCAAGUUUCUGCCCCAUCAGCUUUCGAUGGUAGUGUAUUGGACUACCAUGGCUUUUACGGGUAACGGAGGAUUAGGGUUCGAUUCCGGAGAGGGAGCCUGAGAAACGGCUACCACAUCUAAGGAAGGCAGCAGG